RNAcentral lists this ribosomal RNA (253 nucleotides) under uncultured bacterium. Its description in RNAcentral is "partial 16S ribosomal RNA". It matches the Rfam family "Bacterial small subunit ribosomal RNA", at positions 524 to 776 of the family's 1533-position model. The record is from RNAcentral.
GACGGAGGAUGCAAGCGUUAUCCGGAAUUAUUGGGCGUAAAGCGUCCGCAGGUGGACAUACAAGUCUGCUGUCAAAGUGCAGAGCUUAACUCUGUAAAGGCGGUGGAAACUGUAGGUCUUGAGUAUGGUAGGGGUAGAGGGAAUUCCCGGUGUAGCGGUGAAAUGCGUAGAUAUCGGGAAGAACACCAGUGGCGAAAGCGGCUACCUGGCCCAUUCUUGACGCUGAGGCGCGAAAGCUAGGGGAGCAAACGGG